RNAcentral lists this ribosomal RNA (520 nucleotides) under uncultured Glomus. RNAcentral's name for it is "SSU rRNA". It matches the Rfam family "Eukaryotic small subunit ribosomal RNA", at positions 569 to 1092 of the family's 1831-position model. Lineage: Eukaryota; Fungi; Glomeromycota; Glomeromycetes; Glomerales; Glomeraceae. The record is from RNAcentral.
CGCAGCCGCGGUAAUUCCAGCUCCAAUAGCGUAUAUUAAAGUUGCUGCAGUUAAAAAGCUCGUAGUUGAAUUUCGGGACCAUCAUGUCGGUCGUGCCUCGGUACGUACUGGCAUUAUUGGUUUCUACCUUCUGACGAACCAUGAUGUCAUUUAUUUGGUGUCGUGGGGAAUCAGGACUGUUACUUUGAAAAAAUUAGAGUGUUUAAAGCAGGCAUUAGCUUGAAUACAUUAGCACGGAAUAAUGAAAUAGGACGUUCGAACCUAUUUUGUUGGUUUCUAGGAUCAACGUAAUGAUUAAUAGGGAUAGUUGGGGACAUUAGUAUUCAAUUGUCAGAGGUGAAAUUCUUGGAUUUAUUGAAGACUAACUACUGCGAAAGCAUUUGCCAAGGAUGUUUUCAUUAAUCAAGAACGAAAGUUAGGGGAUCGAAGACGAUCAGAUACCGUCGUAGUCUUAACCAUAAACUAUGCCGACUAGGGAUCGGAUGAUGUUAAUUUUUAAUGACUCAUUCGGCGCCUUACG